Molecule: unclassified non-coding RNA, 273 nt
Filed under: Hevea brasiliensis (rubber tree)
Lineage: Eukaryota; Viridiplantae; Streptophyta; Magnoliopsida; Malpighiales; Euphorbiaceae
Source: RNAcentral
AUAGACAAACAGGUGGAGAGGAGGCACAACUCGCUGGGAUGUCUUUGAUGGAUUCAUCUAGGCGGAGGGCAUCCGGGUUGGCUAUGAAUUCUGGGACUUUUGCCAAACAGAAGAGUCCAAUUGCCACCGAUACUGCAGUUCCUAAGGACGCUGGGUUUUCGGGCCCUAAUAUUAUGGGACGAUCAAGUGGAUCGUCAAGACGUGCUGCAGUGUCGAGCAGCAGGGAUCCUUAUGUGGGAAGUGAAUCAGAUCCAAACCGGUCACGAACAAGGG